UGUGUUAUAGAUGAACGAAGAAAACGAAAUCAAGGGCCGCGACCGAGGCACUUUGGUUGGUUUUAUAAUUGGAUGGACGGAGUCCGUCGGCGUUAAAAAUCAGUUUCAACCACCGAACGAGUUAUUUAUCCAAAUUUCGACCUAUUUUCGACCAUGUUUUGGCCUUUUUAUUGUCCACUAACGAAUUUUGAGGUAAUACCAACUCGAAAAUCAUAAUACCUCUAAUUUCCGAGAAUCGUAGCUUGGGGUUGAGCGCCGAGGAGUAUGAGUAACUCUAAAAGAAUCGCAUCGAAGAGACAAAUUUCUCUGCAAAUUCUAUAAAGGAAUCGCGACACGUUAGACAAUCCCCUUCCGCUUUACUGAUUGUGAAAAAUAGCGAAGGCCUUGGAUUCCCACUCCAGAAAUCAUUGAUAGCCCUGGGAAAAGGUUUGCUGAAAAUAGUGCUCUUGCUGGUUUAACUUGCUGCUGAAUGACCUAAUAAUGAUAGGACCGCACAUUAGGGUUAGGGUUUAGUCGUCAAAUGGCCAUUGUCGCGCCAGCUCUGCCUUAUCUUCUUCGGUUUUCCCAAACUCUUGCACUACCUCCUCCUUUAGUGCUCGAAGUGCAACCUUGGCGGCUUUAUAUUUUCCGUGCUCAACUGCGUUUUUAUCAGGCCAGAGCGGCCCUAAUCGGGCUUUGAAAUCGCUCAUGAUCUGCAUUCCACGUACUGCCUUUUCACCAUCCUUUUCGAUCUCUGCCAAACGCCUAUCAUCAAAUAUAAUGGGAAAAGGCCGUCGGGGGUUUGAAGAAUUAUUUGCUGGCAGCUCAGGCCAUGCAUCGCGUAAACCUAUGGUUAGGGCAUGAAAAUGUGCUUCACCAAAUUCUAGCAGGCGACGGGCUAGCACAAGUAAAUCAAAACCCUCCGUUCGACGGUAUUUAAUAGCCUCAUAAGCUGCCGGAGUCUUCUUUAAUGCGAUUUUUCGGGAGGCGACGAAGAGAGCUUUUUUAUAAUAUUGACUGAUUGCUUCUGUUUUCUCUGUUUCCGAAAGACCUUCGAUAUUCUCAAGUUCAGGGCGGUCUAAAGUCUCUGGUUCUGGGCCACUAUAGUCAAUGAACACAGGGUCUGGACUGUGAUCAAGUAACGGUAAAAGGCUGACGGACUGCCAGUCAAUAAUCCCAACAAGUUUGGAGGGAUCUUUUGGAUCAACGAAUAUGUUCUCGUCGUGGAGAUCAUCAUGCCAGAGACAAGGUGUUGUAAUAUUCUUACUCUCGGUAGGGAGAAGAGCGUCAUAAAUUUGGAGG
RNAcentral lists this small RNA (1281 nucleotides) under Histoplasma capsulatum. RNAcentral describes it as "hypothetical RNA". Lineage: Eukaryota; Fungi; Ascomycota; Eurotiomycetes; Onygenales; Ajellomycetaceae. The record is from RNAcentral. RNAcentral also lists the same sequence under 1 other name.